CUGCAGCUAAUUAAGCAUCAGGUCCCUUUCCCUGUGGCGGCCUGGUGUGCAAUGGUUGCAAACAGCAGCCUCCUUGGUAGUGUAUGCAGCCUGCUGCCUAUAUGGGUUGCCCUAUGGGAUGGAGACCAUU
Molecule: small nucleolar RNA, 130 nt
Organism: Phodopus roborovskii (desert hamster)
Lineage: Eukaryota; Metazoa; Chordata; Mammalia; Rodentia; Cricetidae
Product: small nucleolar RNA SNORA70
Exons: 1
Source: RefSeq, a predicted model, not a curated record